Halichondria panicea is the source of this 600-nucleotide long non-coding RNA. RefSeq lists it as uncharacterized. The transcript has 4 exons. Lineage: Eukaryota; Metazoa; Porifera; Demospongiae; Suberitida; Halichondriidae. The record is from RefSeq and is a predicted model, not a curated record.
GACAGAGGCAAUUAGUGCAAAAGAAGCGUCCUGUUUCGGUAUCACUGACAAAAUUGUAUGAAAGAAUUGGAGUAAGUCCUGCCAGAUUGAGUGGCCAUGCACGCAGAAAAGCAACAUCUACUACAGUUGUGGUAAGAAGGAACCUGUUAACAGAAUUGGCCAAAGUGAAGUUGGGCGUUAAAAAAGACAAAUCAAAUUAUGCUGCCAAGAACAGAAGCAAAACCAAAAUUGCUAGUAAACCACGAUCGCCUGCAAAUACCAGAAGCAAAAGAAAACCUGCUAGUCAACCACAAUCUGCCAAGAUAUUGUCUACCAAUGGUGCCAAAAGAAAAAAGAACUGUGCUAAUAAACCGCAAGGCAAAUCUGCUGUACAAGUUGCAAUUGUAGGAGAAGACAAGGAGCAAUGCCCUAAGUAUGUAUGCGUAUACAAGAGAGUGCCUCGUGCUUCAACCAUGAUUGCUUGUCACACAUGUGACCAAUGGUUCCACAUCAAGUGCGUAUCGUUAUCACAAAAAGAAGCUGGGAAGAUAGCACAGUGGCAUUGCAGCAAAUGCAUGUAGCUAACACUUAAUUUUGCCUGCAUGAACUCAAUCUAUAAUA